GGCUUCCAAGUUUUAUAGACAGCACACAAUUAAAGUUGCUCAGUUGCUGCAACAAAACUUCGCUUUUAUGAACCUUUUUCGAAAUAAAAUCGAUAUGCCAUGCAGAGAGAGAGGUCAGUAUUAAAUUUAGCUAUUUUUUAAACGUUUCUGAGUUGUUCUUCUUAAGUUAUCGCUGUUUUUGAAACACGUGUGUACACACAUUCAUUGAUGUAUUGAAUUCGAUUCCAUUCAAGCGCUUCGUUUCGGCGCUUAGUCGCUUUAUUUCCUUGGUGUUUCUCGCUCACUUUAAGCAGUAAUGUUCAGAAAUACCUCAGCUUUGAUAUAUGUAACUCAUAUUUAGUUUAUCUGCGAUUUCAGGGCGAAAAUUUGAAGAGAAAGAGUGAACUAAUUUAAGUCGCCGACAUGGUCGAAAACGCAAAGUACUUGGUAAGUAUAACUAAAGGCGUUUCCUUCUUGUUUUUUGUUUUUGUUUUUAAGCUUCCCUUAUACACCUAGAACGUCUUCUAGUAAAGCCUUGUCGCUUUAUGAACACUCUGUCAAAUUUAGUUAAAAUUUUGUUGAAACUUUUAUCUGUACAGAACGAAAUGCCGACUUAUUUUAGGCAUGUUGAAUUCGACAUGCAUUUCAAACAUUUUAGCUUCUACAAACUUGUCGUUUAUGUACAAAUUGUACUCUGAGAGGGAAGGCUAAGCAUUUUGACUUUGUUGAGGUCGAAUUUAACCCAAAUCUUUAAUUUGAAGAAGUUCAGAGAUGAAAUGUCCUCGUGGUUCAUGCUCUGAUAUUAAUUUUAUGCAUACAUGCACGCAUUCUGGUCAUGAACCACAGCCUGUAUAAACCACAUUAAAAUAACUCUCCACUGUUAAAACUAAAAAUGCAUUAUCCAACUUUUUUAGAUUGCCUCAAGUUCGAUCAUUUUGACGGAAAACAGUACAGAAAGACCUCUGCACAGAUUUGAAGAGACGCUCGCUAGCAGUCGAAACAAAACGAGAAGACUGGAAGGCAAAGGCCAAAUGAAGACCGUCAGCUAACCCACAGCUGUUAUCGUCGCAUUUCGUUUGUACCACGUUUGGACGAGAGAGUAACCAAGGCAUAUAAUACCGUAAUAGUCUGACAGUCUUUCGCUCAGUCAGCCAAUUGUGAAUGGGUGCCAAGACCUGUCAAACCACGACACGACGCCGUACCAUCCAGGAACCCUAUCACCAUCGUUUCCAAGAUUGGCACUACGGAUUGCCUACCUAUACCAGCCUAUGAAAUAGGCGUGAAAGAUGCUGUACGUUACAGAAGGUAUAUUUUUCUCGUGAUUCUCGUUGGUCGUGUUCGAAAGGCGUGGGGGGGGGGGGCACCCUGAGGACGCCCAAAUGCAAAAACAAAUUUAAAUAUGGCACUUUUUCCUUAAUUUCGCAAUUUAUUCAAAUUUUUUACAUUUCCUGGAAUUUGUGAAACGCUCUUAACGAAAUCGAAAUGUUUGAAAUUCGGAAGGUUUUAACUGGGAGUUUGUUUAUUUGAAAGAUAUUUGAAAUGAAAUUUUAAAAUUUACAUCACUUUGGUAUUUGGUUUAAACGCUAGGUAAAAUUAUGCCAGAUGAGUGACCGACCAUUCGUCGAGGCUUGGCGGUACUUCGGCUCGGACUUUUCCGACCUACAGUCGAGUUGCUCUGAUCGAUUGUCGUGAUCAACUAGCACAGGUGCAAGGUCUGGCCAACCUUACAUCGGUGCUUUUUGUUCGUGGCAUGAGAUUGGGACAGCUCGCCUGUAGGCCUGGAAAGAUCAAGCCGAAGUACCACCAAACUUUGAUUUGUGGUCGGUUUUUUGUCUGUAUGGUUUUAUUCAGCGUUUUCCCGUUACCAUUUUGAUGCAGACUUUGGGAUUUUGGCUUGAAUAUCUUUGAUAUAAACAUUCUUUGAGGUUUAAUCUUUCAAGAAUUUCAUGGUUUUUGACUAGUUAAUGUGUUGCUCGCAGAUAUAUAAUUGUAUUUAAAAAAAAAUAACCAAUAGAAUUUAAAACUGACCAAAACGUCAUUUGAGGUGUCCGAUGGGAGGUCCAGUGGGAGUCGUAGCGGAUAUCAAUGGAUAAAUACCAAUUACUGGAGAUCGAUACCAUGUGAACAUUACUGGAUUCUUAUGAACAUUAAUGGGUUACUAUGAACAUUGAUGGAUUACAACGAACACUUCAGGAUUAUUGUGAACAUUAGUGGAUAAAAUGUAUCUCGCGAUCGACGGUUAACCUGCCGAUGUACCUUGAUAACGAAAGCUGCACCGCGGCAACGAGAUGACUGCCUCAAGGUUAGAGGAUUUGAUUGUUAGUCUGAUAACAGGCAGUGGUUAGCUUGUUAUCAGGCAGUAGUUAAGGGUUAGCCUGCUAUCAGGCAGUAGUUACCCAAGACUCUAAUUUGCAUGUGUUCGGUGAAGUCUU
RNAcentral lists this long non-coding RNA (2411 nucleotides) under Paramuricea clavata. Lineage: Eukaryota; Metazoa; Cnidaria; Anthozoa; Malacalcyonacea; Plexauridae. The record is from RNAcentral.